GACUUGAUGGUGUAGUGGUUAACACGCUUGUUUAAAUUACGUUGCAGACUAGACCAGUUCAGCGGGAGUCCCCGGUUCGAACCUGUGUCAAGUCA
Non-coding RNA from Mycena alexandri, 95 nucleotides. Lineage: Eukaryota; Fungi; Basidiomycota; Agaricomycetes; Agaricales; Mycenaceae. The record is from the annotation of a GenBank genome assembly.